GCAUUGUGGCUCAGUGGUAGAGCCCUUGCUCAGCAUGCGUGAGGCACUGGGUUCGAUCCCCAGCACCA
This 68-nucleotide transfer RNA is filed under the name Marmota monax (woodchuck). RNAcentral describes it as "tRNA.Ala". The stretch from base 5 to 65 matches the Rfam family "tRNA", at positions 6 to 65 of the family's 71-position model. From Rfam's summary of the family: Transfer RNA (tRNA) molecules are approximately 80 nucleotides in length. Their secondary structure includes four short double-helical elements and three loops (D, anti-codon, and T loops). Lineage: Eukaryota; Metazoa; Chordata; Mammalia; Rodentia; Sciuridae. The record is from RNAcentral.